AGAUACCUAGAGGAUACGACAUCUUUAGUAUAAAACCGACUAAAGAUAUUAAACGGGGAGCUAAUAUAGUUUAUGUGUUGAAUACCUAUCAUUGAUAGGGAUCCUAAUUAGACUAUUGUGCUGACCCACCUGUGACUUACGCCGCGGGUUUUAUCUUACAGAGUCGGUCCAUCUGGGUCUUUU
Non-coding RNA from Clostridium sp. CAG:302, 183 nucleotides. It matches the Rfam family "6S / SsrS RNA". Rfam says of the family: E. coli 6S RNA was the first non coding RNA to be sequenced, but its function was unknown until recently. It consists of 184 nucleotides that fold into an extended hairpin structure with a large single-stranded internal bulge. The record is from Rfam. NCBI's taxonomy places the organism in Bacteria, Bacillati, Bacillota, Clostridia, Eubacteriales, Clostridiaceae.